This 253-nucleotide ribosomal RNA is filed under the name uncultured bacterium. Its description in RNAcentral is "partial 16S ribosomal RNA". It matches the Rfam family "Bacterial small subunit ribosomal RNA", at positions 524 to 776 of the family's 1533-position model. The record is from RNAcentral.
GACGUAGGGCGCGAGCGUUGUCCGGAUUUAUUGGGCGUAAAGAGCGUGUAGGCGGCCAAGCAGGUCCGCUGUGAAAACUCGAGGCUCAACCUCGAGACGUCGGUGGAAACCGUUUGGCUAGAGUCCGGAGGAGGAGAGUGGAAUUCCCGGUGUAGCGGUGAAAUGCGCAGAUAUCGGGAAGAACACCCGUGGCGAAGGCGGCUCUCUGGGACGGUACUGACGCUGAGACGCGAAAGCGUGGGGAGCAAACAGG